UACAGAGGGGGCAAGCGUUGUUCGGAAUUACUGGGCGUAAAGGGCGCGUAGGCGGCCUGCUAAGUCGAACGUGAAAUCCCCGGGCUCAACCCGGGAACUGCGUCCGAUACUGACAGGCUUGAAUCCGGGAGAGGGAUGUGGAAUUCCAGGUGUAGCGGUGAAAUGCGUAGAUAUCGAGAGGAACACCUGCGGCGAAGGCGGGUUGCUGGGCUGACACUGACGCUGAAGCGCGAAAGCUAGGGGAGCGAACGGG
This 253-nucleotide ribosomal RNA is filed under the name uncultured bacterium. Its description in RNAcentral is "partial 16S ribosomal RNA". It matches the Rfam family "Bacterial small subunit ribosomal RNA", at positions 524 to 776 of the family's 1533-position model. The record is from RNAcentral.